Long non-coding RNA from Pecten maximus, 2973 nucleotides. RefSeq lists it as uncharacterized. Lineage: Eukaryota; Metazoa; Mollusca; Bivalvia; Pectinida; Pectinidae. The transcript is spliced from 2 exons. The record is from RefSeq and is a predicted model, not a curated record.
AUUCAUGACAUUAUUUUAUUCUCUUUCAUAGCCUAUACAGCUCAGUGACAAUUGAAGGAAACAUACAAGUUUGAGCAAGCACAUGUACUAAACACAACUUUGACUUGUCACAGAGACACACCUACAGUGUUAUAAUCUGGUACAUACAAAGCUGUAACCCAAGACUGUAGGUACCCAAAUACACAAUAUCCUGUUUGUAAAGGAAAACCUUUCCUACUUGUUUUAUUAAUUAAGAUAUCAAAAUAACUAUUCUGUUAAUAUUUCUUCAGUAAUAGCAUUUUACCAGCCAGGUCUACUGUAUUGAGAAUUAUGAAAAACUUGCAAGUGAAAAUGCAAACCAAAAUAGACAUUAAAAUGAAACACCGAUUCUAAUGUCAAAGUUACUGUACAACAAAAUUUCAAGAUGAAAAUGAUGCUUGAAGUAUCCUUUAAAGAAAACUUUGAAAAAAACCUGUCUACGAACUCAAAAAGAAACAACCAAAUCUUGUUUAACCUGACUCUGCGACACUGUCAGCUUCACCACUGUAGGAUGGGGCACAACAUGCUCCUGUAUUUAUAAGGCUAAUGACUAAAUCAUGACAAUAGCUGUCACUUUGUACUAGUGUUACAUUAGUACAACAUUGUCAUGUUUAUAUCACAGAUUCAUAUAUUUAACAGGGUUACACCAAUAUCACACUUCUAUCUGAUCACAAGUCUGAUGCUUACAAGACCACCACAUCCAAGCCUAAGGUGCCUGAAGAUUUUCUUUCAAGUGUGCAGACAAUUAUUCAUUAUCCAACAUUUCUUUUCCUGCUCGAAUAAAUUGUUUCCAUUUAGACAAUUAUCAUGUGAUAUUUGGACAUAUUAUCAUACUCUGAGAAUCUCAUUUAAUUUUAGAUGGAUGGUUGAAGAUUUUUUGUGUGCAUUUAGUAUAUAUCAUUAUUAACAUCCAAUUUCCGAGCAAAAAUACAGAAAAAUGGUAUUGUAAAAUGUAAUUUUUUUUGUAAGAAACUAUCCAAUUUCCAAGCAAAAAUACAGAAAUAUGUAUUGUAAAAUGUAAAAUUUUUCAUAAGAAACUUUUGGAGCAAGUUUUAUUUUUCUUACAUGAUAAAUUCUGAUCUAUCUGGCAAUAAUUUACUUCUACCUGACAUGGAUUAAAGAUUGUAUGCCAUAUCAUGAUGAAUACGAUGUAACUGCUAAGACAUUCAAUUAACUGCUAUUGCCAUAAUAACACAGUAAAGAGCAUCUCAAAUGGUAACAGAAAAUUGUCUCAAACCUAUUUAAGGUUACUUUGAAUCAGUGAUAUCACAAUAAAGUUCUCUUUUGAGUUGAUGUAGAUACAAUUUUUCACUGUAUAAGACGGAACAACAUUAGACCUGUUAAAAACCAUCACUUCUUUUCUAUAUUAACUUUUUUGCAUUUCAAUUAUGGCACUAUAAAUUGUGCUCAAGAAUAAAGCUAAUAAUAUACCCAUGUCACAGGGUAUCAAAUUAGGGUCCCUUUCAAUAAUACAAUGUGUUUCACAUAAAGAAACCCUCAAAGCAAAAUAUGGACACCAAUAUUGACUCAUAAGAUUUCGAUUAUUCUCUGAUCCAUCCAUCAUAUAUAUAAUGUAUAAUAUUGUUUAAACUAGUAUAUUGUAUCACAGUCUCAUAAUAAUAUCUAAUACUGCCGUUCAAACCCUAUCUGGGGAUGACGAAAAUACUUGUCAAUGACUACUUUGACAAGUGUUGAUUGUAUUGAUGUACCAACACAAACAGUAAAUCUGAAUCCCCCCUUGUGUUGCAGUGGCCGUGAUUGGCUGUACUUGAAGCAGGCGGAGUUUUAAUUAAAAUUUUGACAACACCAGAAUAUGUAACAAAUUCGGCACAUGAUUUUGUAUUCACACAUGUCCAUAAUGAUAAAAAUAAUGACAGAAAUAGGGAUUUGGAAUAUCCAGUGGAACAAUAAGAUUAAAAGCAUAUAUCCUGUUUGUGGUUCAGCCGAUUGAGUUCAGAUUGCAGGUAGAUCUGUCUUUACCCCAAUGUGAAUACCACGAAUACCUGUUGGCCAUGUUGUUUUCAGAUUAGUUUCAAAAUGCAAUAUACAUUACUAGGGACCAAGAGGAACCUACAUAUGAAAUUUCAGAAAGAUCCCUUCAGUACUUUCUGAGAAAUAGCGAUAAUAAGAAUUGUUUAUGGACGUACGGAUGGACUGACCUCAGACGCAGGGCGAUUUGAAUAGCCCACCAUCUGAUGAUAGUGAUGGGCUAAAAAUGGACUCCUUAGUAAAUCAUUCGCAGUUGAAAAGGGUUAUAGCGUCAGUUUCCUAACAUAAGAUGGCCAAAUGGGCGAAAGAAAUCCCAUUAAUUCUGCUUAGGAAGCGACAUGUAAAGCAGAUGCGACCUGUUCAUGUAAGCCAUGACUUUCUUGAUGAUGCACAUAUUCUGAGGCAUUGCCUGUCAGUGUGUAUUGACAGACGAGGCAAAUAAAAAUGCACAAUUAGCUCUACCAGUUGUUUACACAUGUUAUUUGGUACAAUGCUUGAAAUAAAUGUCACCUUUUCUUAAUUCUGAAUUGACUCCGAGUUAUCAAAAUGUUUAAGAACUGUGUUCCUGUUUACAAAAUGGCUACCUUGUUUUCAAACUAGCCAUGCGAUAGUAUCAGUGCUAUAUUUGAUGGGUUUCCCGACUAAAUCAUGUGGUCAAGCUGGACACUGGAAAUUGAUAUGAAUAUCGUGAUAGCAUAGAAACGUAACAAUGUAUUAUAGUCGACCCAAAAUCCCCAGUAAGGCAGUCAAAGUUCCGGUAAUGAAUUUUUCAGGAAACGACAAAAAAUGUCACAUGGUCUGUAUGUCUGUGAGUGUCAGGACCAUAAGAUAAUGAACAUAAAUAUGAUAAUGAAAUGCUAUAUCAUGGGACUGGCUUGCUUCUUGCUCUGUUAGUUAUCUAGCUGAUAGUCUAAAUAUAGAUACAAUAUUGACAGUGUAUUCGGUGUGGAAGAUUAAGUGCUUCAA